This 1390-nucleotide ribosomal RNA is filed under the name uncultured marine bacterium. RNAcentral's name for it is "bacterial SSU rRNA". It matches the Rfam family "Bacterial small subunit ribosomal RNA". The record is from RNAcentral.
GAGUUUGAUCCUGGCUCAGGAUGAACGCUAGCGGCAGGCCUAACACAUGCAAGUCGAGGGGUAACAUAGAAAAGCUUGCUUUUCUGAUGACGACCGGCGCACGGGUGCGUAACGCGUAUACAAUCUGCCUUAUACUGGGGUAUAGCCUUUAGAAAUGAAGAUUAAUCCCCCAUAGCCUCUUUUAAUGGCAUCAUUAUAAGAGUAAAGGUUACGGUAUAAGAUGAGUAUGCGUUCUAUUAGUUUGUUGGUGAGGUAACGGCUCACCAAGACUGCGAUAGAUAGGGGCCCUGAGAGGGGGAUCCCCCACACUGGUACUGAGACACGGACCAGACUCCUACGGGAGGCAGCAGUGAGGAAUAUUGGACAAUGGAGGCAACUCUGAUCCAGCCAUGCCGCGUGCAGGAAGACUGCCCUAUGGGUUGUAAACUGCUUUUAUACAGGAAGAAACCUUGGUACGUGUACCAAGCUGACGGUACUGUAAGAAUAAGGAUCGGCUAACUCCGUGCCAGCAGCCGCGGUAAUACGGAGGAUCCAAGCGUUAUCCGGAAUCAUUGGGAUUAAAGGGUCCGUAGGUGGAUAAUUAAGUCAGAGGUGAAAUCUUGCAGCUCAACUGUAAAAUUGCCUUUGAUACUGGUUAUCUUGAGUCAUUAUGAAGUAGUUAGAAUAUGUAGUGUAGCGGUGAAAUGCAUAGAUAUUACAUAGAAUACCAAUUGCGAAGGCAGAUUACUAAUAAUGUACUGACACUGAUGGACGAAAGCGUGGGUAGCGAACAGGAUUAGAUACCCUGGUAGUCCACGCCGUAAACGAUGGUUACUAGCUGUGUGGACUUCGGUCUGCGUGGCUAAGCGAGAGUGAUAAGUAACCCACCUGGGGAGUACGUUCGCAAGAAUGAAACUCAAAGGAAUUGACGGGGGCCCGCACAAGCGGUGGAGCAUGUGGUUUAAUUCGAUGAUACGCGAGGAACCUUACCAGGGCUUAAAUGUAAGUUGCAUUAGCUAGAGAUAGCUAUUUCUUCGGACCACUUACAAGGUGCUGCAUGGUUGUCGUCAGCUCGUGCCGUGAGGUGUCAGGUUAAGUCCUAUAACGAGCGCAACCCCUGUUGUUAGAUGCCAGCGAGUCAUGUCGGGAACUCUAACAAGACUGCCGGUGCAAACCGUGAGGAAGGUGGGGAUGACGUCAAAUCAUCACGGCCCUUACGUCCUGGGCUACACACGUGCUACAAUGGUCGGUACAGAGAGCAGCCACUGCGCGAGCAGGAGCGAAUCUAUAAAACCGAUCACAGUUCGGAUCGGAGUCUGCAACUCGACUCCGUGAAGCUGGAAUCGCUAGUAAUCGGAUAUCAGCCAUGAUCCGGUGAAUACGUUCCCGGGCCUUGUACUCACCGCCCGUC